Molecule: microRNA precursor, 74 nt
Filed under: Myotis brandtii (Brandt's bat)
Lineage: Eukaryota; Metazoa; Chordata; Mammalia; Chiroptera; Vespertilionidae
Description: mir-9193 microRNA precursor family
Rfam family: mir-9193 microRNA precursor family
Source: Rfam by way of RNAcentral
CUUGUGGGGAGGGGGUCCCUCAGCCUGGAUUGCAAGAGGGCACAGGCCAGGCCAAGGGACCCCACCGGUGCAUG